This 2902-nucleotide ribosomal RNA is filed under the name Klebsiella pneumoniae. RNAcentral's name for it is "23S ribosomal RNA". It matches the Rfam family "Bacterial large subunit ribosomal RNA". Lineage: Bacteria; Pseudomonadati; Pseudomonadota; Gammaproteobacteria; Enterobacterales; Enterobacteriaceae. The record is from RNAcentral.
GGUUAAGCGACUAAGCGUACACGGUGGAUGCCCUGGCAGUCAGAGGCGAUGAAGGACGUGCUAAUCUGCGAAAAGCGUCGGUAAGGUGAUAUGAACCGUUAUAACCGGCGAUGUCCGAAUGGGGAAACCCAGUGCAAUUCGUUGCACUAUCGUUAACUGAAUACAUAGGUUAACGAGGCGAACCGGGGGAACUGAAACAUCUAAGUACCCCGAGGAAAAGAAAUCAACCGAGAUUCCCCCAGUAGCGGCGAGCGAACGGGGAGCAGCCCAGAGUCUGAAUCAGCUUGUGUGUUAGUGGAACGGUCUGGAAAGUCCGACGGUACAGGGUGAUAGUCCCGUACACCAAAAUGCACAGGCUGUGAACUCGAAGAGUAGGGCGGGACACGUGGUAUCCUGUCUGAAUAUGGGGGGACCAUCCUCCAAGGCUAAAUACUCCUGACUGACCGAUAGUGAACCAGUACCGUGAGGGAAAGGCGAAAAGAACCCCGGCGAGGGGAGUGAAAAAGAACCUGAAACCGUGUACGUACAAGCAGUGGGAGCACCUUCGGGUGUGACUGCGUACCUUUUGUAUAAUGGGUCAGCGACUUAUAUUCUGUAGCAAGGUUAACCGUAUAGGGGAGCCGCAGGGAAACCGAGUCUUAACUGGGCGUUAAGUUGCAGGGUAUAGACCCGAAACCCGGUGAUCUAGCCAUGGGCAGGUUGAAGGUUGGGUAACACUAACUGGAGGACCGAACCGACUAAUGUUGAAAAAUUAGCGGAUGACUUGUGGCUGGGGGUGAAAGGCCAAUCAAACCGGGAGAUAGCUGGUUCUCCCCGAAAGCUAUUUAGGUAGCGCCUCGUGAAUUCAUCUUCGGGGGUAGAGCACUGUUUCGGCUAGGGGGUCAUCCCGACUUACCAACCCGAUGCAAACUACGAAUACCGAAGAAUGUUAUCACGGGAGACACACGGCGGGUGCUAACGUCCGUCGUGAAGAGGGAAACAACCCAGACCGCCAGCUAAGGUCCCAAAGUCAUGGUUAAGUGGGAAACGAUGUGGGAAGGCACAGACAGCCAGGAUGUUGGCUUAGAAGCAGCCAUCAUUUAAAGAAAGCGUAAUAGCUCACUGGUCGAGUCGGCCUGCGCGGAAGAUGUAACGGGGCUAAACCAUGCACCGAAGCUGCGGCAGCGACACUAUGUGUUGUUGGGUAGGGGAGCGUUCUGUAAGCCUGCGAAGGUGACCUGUGAGGGUUGCUGGAGGUAUCAGAAGUGCGAAUGCUGACAUAAGUAACGAUAAAGCGGGUGAAAAGCCCGCUCGCCGGAAGACCAAGGGUUCCUGUCCAACGUUAAUCGGGGCAGGGUGAGUCGACCCCUAAGGCGAGGCCGAAAGGCGUAGUCGAUGGGAAACAGGUUAAUAUUCCUGUACUUGGUGUUACUGCGAAGGGGGGACGGAGAAGGCUAUGUUAGCCGGGCGACGGUUGUCCCGGUUUAAGCAUGUAGGCUGGUUGUCCAGGCAAAUCCGGAUAAUCAAGGCUGAGGUGUGAUGACGAGGCACUACGGUGCUGAAGUAACAAAUGCCCUGCUUCCAGGAAAAGCCUCUAAGCAUCAGGUAACAUUAAAUCGUACCCCAAACCGACACAGGUGGUCAGGUAGAGAAUACCAAGGCGCUUGAGAGAACUCGGGUGAAGGAACUAGGCAAAAUGGUGCCGUAACUUCGGGAGAAGGCACGCUGGUGUGUAGGUGAAGCCCCUGCGGGUGGAGCUGAGACCAGUCGAAGAUACCAGCUGGCUGCAACUGUUUAUUAAAAACACAGCACUGUGCAAACACGAAAGUGGACGUAUACGGUGUGACGCCUGCCCGGUGCCGGAAGGUUAAUUGAUGGGGUUAUCCGUAAGGAGAAGCUCUUGAUCGAAGCCCCGGUAAACGGCGGCCGUAACUAUAACGGUCCUAAGGUAGCGAAAUUCCUUGUCGGGUAAGUUCCGACCUGCACGAAUGGCGUAAUGAUGGCCAGGCUGUCUCCACCCGAGACUCAGUGAAAUUGAACUCGCUGUGAAGAUGCAGUGUACCCGCGGCAAGACGGAAAGACCCCGUGAACCUUUACUAUAGCUUGACACUGAACAUUGAGCCUUGAUGUGUAGGAUAGGUGGGAGGCUUUGAAGCGUGGACGCCAGUCUGCGUGGAGCCAACCUUGAAAUACCACCCUUUAAUGUUUGAUGUUCUAACGUUGGCCCCUGACCGGGGUUGCGGACAGUGUCUGGUGGGUAGUUUGACUGGGGCGGUCUCCUCCCAAAGCGUAACGGAGGAGCACGAAGGUUAGCUAAUCCUGGUCGGACAUCAGGAGGUUAGUGCAAUGGCAUAAGCUAGCUUGACUGCGAGCGUGACGGCGCGAGCAGGUGCGAAAGCAGGUCAUAGUGAUCCGGUGGUUCUGAAUGGAAGGGCCAUCGCUCAACGGAUAAAAGGUACUCCGGGGAUAACAGGCUGAUACCGCCCAAGAGUUCAUAUCGACGGCGGUGUUUGGCACCUCGAUGUCGGCUCAUCACAUCCUGGGGCUGAAGUAGGUCCCAAGGGUAUGGCUGUUCGCCAUUUAAAGUGGUACGCGAGCUGGGUUUAGAACGUCGUGAGACAGUUCGGUCCCUAUCUGCCGUGGGCGCUGGAGAAUUGAGGGGGGCUGCUCCUAGUACGAGAGGACCGGAGUGGACGCAUCACUGGUGUUCGGGUUGUCAUGCCAAUGGCACUGCCCGGUAGCUAAAUGCGGAAGAGAUAAGUGCUGAAAGCAUCUAAGCACGAAACUUGCCCCGAGAUGAGUUCUCCCUGAGACUUUAAGUCUCCUGAAGGAACGUUAAAGACGAUGACGUUGAUAGGCCGGGUGUGUAAGCGCAGCGAUGCGUUGAGCUAACCGGUACUAAUGAACCGUGAGGCUUAACCUU